This 2916-nucleotide ribosomal RNA is filed under the name Oscillospiraceae bacterium HV4-5-C5C. Its description in RNAcentral is "23S ribosomal RNA". It matches the Rfam family "Bacterial large subunit ribosomal RNA". Lineage: Bacteria; Bacillati; Bacillota; Clostridia; Eubacteriales; Oscillospiraceae. The record is from RNAcentral.
AGGUCAAGUUACAAAGAGCGCAGGGUGAAUGCCUUGGUACCAUGAGCCGAUGAAGGACGCGACAAGCUGCGAAAAGCUGCGGUAAGGCGCACAUAGCCUAUGACCCGCAGAUGUCCGAAUGGGGAAACCCGGCUGGGGUAAAUGCCCAGUCGUCCGUACAUGAAUCCAUAGUGUACGGUCGGGAGACGAGGGGAACUGAAACAUCUAAGUACCCUCAGGAAGAGAAAUCAAACGAGAUUCCGUAAGUAGUGGCGAGCGAAAGCGGAAGAGGCCAAACCUGAAGACUUCGGUCUGAAGGGGUUGCGGACUGUUAAUACGUGAUCUGGAAGCCUAGCAGAAUGAACGGCUGGAAAGCCGGGACCAAAGAGAGUAAUAGUCUCGUAUGCGAAAGGCGGAAGGCACAGACAGCACCAGAGUACCAUGGGACACGAGAAAUCCCGUGGGAAGCCGGGGGGACCACCCUCCAAGCCUAAAUACUCCAUGGUAACCGAUAGUGAAGCAGUACUGUGAAGGAAAGGUGAAAAGAACCCGUAAUGGGGAGUGAAAGAGAACCUGAAACCCUGUGUUUACAAGCAAUCGGAGAGCGUUUAAGCUCGACGGUGUACUUUUUGUAGAACGGUCCGACGAGUUAUGGCAGUCAGCGAGGUUAAGGACUAGAGGUCUGGAGCCGAAGGGAAACCGAGUAUGAAUAGUGCGAAGAGUUGAUUGUUAUAGACCCGAAACCGGGUGACCUAUCCAUGAGCAGGUUGAAGUGACGGUAAAACGUCAUGAAGGACCGAACCCGUGUCUGUUGAAAAAGGCUGGGAUGACUUGUGGAUAGCGGAGAAAUUCCAAUCGAACCCGGAGAUAGCUGGUUCUCCCCGAAAUAGCUUUAGGGCUAGCCUUGAGUAAAGUCUAGCGGAGGUAGAGCACUGAAUGGGCUAGGGGCCUUACCAGGUUACCGAACCUUAUCAAACUCCGAAUGCCGCAAAGAUAGACUCAGGAGUCAGACUGUGACAGAUAAGUGCCAUGGUCAAAAGGGAAACAGCCCAGAUCGCCGGCUAAGGUCCCAAAGUGAUGGUUAAGUGGUAAAGGAUGUGGUUUUGCUAAGACAGCUAGGAUGUUGGCUUAGAAGCAGCCACUCAUUUAAAGAGUGCGUAAUAGCUCACUAGUCGAGUGAAACUGCGCCGAAAAUUCACGGGGCUAAAACCAUCCACCGAAGCCGCGGAAUGAUCUUAAGUGAUUGUUGGUAGGGGAGCGUACUGUAAGCGGAAGAAGCAUGAUUGAAAAGACAUGUGGACGUAUCAGUAGAGAGAAUGUCGGAAUAAGUAACGAGAGCGAAGUGAGAAUCUUUGCCGUCGAAAAUCCAAGGUUUCCUGGGGAAGGGUCGUCCUCCCAGGGUCAGUCGGGACCUAAGGCGAGGCCGCGAGGCGUAGUCGAUGGACAACAGGUAGACAAUCCUGUACUAUUCCCAAGCGAUUGAGUGAAGCAGGGACACAGAACGAGGAAGUCAGCGAGCGGCUGGAAGCGCUCGCCCAAGCGAGGUAGCGGUCAUGUAGUGAAGUACGCAUGGCAACGUGAAGACGUGAUGGAUAGGGAAAACUAAGUACCGAAGAGACGGAGACGGACUGGCGAGAAAAGCUGCUAGCGAGGUUGGGAGUACCCGUACCGCAAACCGACACAGGUGGAUGAGGAGAGAAUCCUAAGACGAGCGGGAGAAGCGUUGUUAAGGAACUCGGCAAAUUAACCCCGUAAGUUCGCAAUAAGGGGAGCCUCAGCAAUGAGGCCGCAGAGAAAUGGCCCAAGCAACUGUUUACCAAAAACACAGGUCUCCGCUAAAUCGAAAGAUGAAGUAUGGGGGCUGACGCCUGCCCGGUGCUGGAAGGUCAAGGGGACAUGUUAGCGCAAGCGAAGCAUCGAACUUAAGCCCCAGUAAACGGCGGCCGUAACUAUAACGGUCCUAAGGUAGCGAAAUUCCUUGUCAGGUAAGUUCUGACCCGCACGAAUGGCGUAAUGACUUGGGCGCUGUCUCAACAACGUACCCGGUGAAAUUGUAGUACUUGUGAAGAUGCAAGUUACCCGCAACUAGACGGAAAGACCCCAUGGAGCUUCACUGUAGAUUGUUACUGGGAUUCGAUAUUGUUUGUACAGGAUAGGUGGGAGACAAUGAAACUAAGGCGUCAGCUUUAGCGGAGUCGCUGUUGGGAUACCACUCUGACGAUAUUGGGUUUCUAACUGUUGGCCGUAAUCCGGUCACAGGACAAUGGCAGUCGGGCAGUUUGACUGGGGCGGUCGCCUCCUAAAGAGUAACGGAGGCGUUCAAAGGUUACCUCAGCACGGUUGGAAAUCGUGCAAUGAGUGCAAAGGCAUAAGGUAGCCUGACUGCGAGACCUACAAGUCGAGCAGGUACGAAAGUAGGACUUAGUGACCCGGCGGUAGAAAGUGGAAUUGCCGUCGCUCAACGGAUAAAAGUUACCCUGGGGAUAACAGGCUGAUCUCCCCCAAGAGUUCACAUCGACGGGGAGGUUUGGCACCUCGAUGUCGGCUCAUCACAUCCUGGAGGGGAAGCACCUUCCAAGGGUUCGGCUGUUCGCCGAUUAAAGUGGUACGCGAGCUGGGUUCAGAACGUCGUGAGACAGUUCGGUCCCUAUCUGUUGUGGGCGUAGGAAAUUUGCGAGGAUCUGUCCCUAGUACGAGAGGACCGGGAUGGACAAACCUAUGGUGCACCAGUUGUCACGCCAGUGGCACAGCUGGGUAGCUAUGUUUGGAUGGGAUAAACGCUGAAAGCAUCUAAGUGUGAAACCCACCUCAAGAUGAGAUUUCCCUGCUCCUAGUGAGCUAAGACCCCUGAUAGACGAUCAGGUUGAUAGGCCGGAAGUGAAAGUGCAGUAAUGCAUGAAGCGGACCGGUACUAAUCGGUCGAAGACUUGACCACAA